RNAcentral lists this ribosomal RNA (301 nucleotides) under uncultured bacterium. RNAcentral describes it as "partial 16S ribosomal RNA". It matches the Rfam family "Bacterial small subunit ribosomal RNA", at positions 509 to 808 of the family's 1533-position model. The record is from RNAcentral.
CAGUAGCCGCGGUAAUACGUAGGACCCGAGCGUUGUCCGGAUUUAUUGGGCGUAAAGCGAGCGCAGGCGGCUAGAUAAGUCUGAAGUUAAAGGCUGUGGCUUAACCAUAGUACGCUUUGGAAACUGUUUAACUUGAGUGCAAGAGGGGAGAGUGGAAUUCCAUGUGUAGCGGUGAAAUGCGUAGAUAUAUGGAGGAACACCAACGGCGAAAGCACUCUGCUGGGCCGACACUGACACUGAGAGACGAAAGCUAGGGAAGCAAAUGGGAUUAGAUACCCCUGUAGUCCCUGUCUCUUAUACC